RNAcentral lists this long non-coding RNA (1284 nucleotides) under Pongo abelii (Sumatran orangutan). Its description in RNAcentral is "lincRNA". Lineage: Eukaryota; Metazoa; Chordata; Mammalia; Primates; Hominidae. The record is from RNAcentral.
GUGCCAGGGUACAGACUCUUAAUUCCUUCUGGAAUACUGAGAGUGCCAGGAAAUGACAGCUUAAUGUUCAGGGUACAUCUUAGUUUGUCUUGGAUCUUGUGACAGGGGCAGCAGCAUUACUCUUGGAGUGAAAGUGUAUCUGGGUAUGUUGGGCCACAUUUGCAGUAGUUUGUUCUGAGCUCCAGAGCUAUUGAUCAAGCCCGUCCUGCCUUCUGAGGUAUGGAAGACACUGAGGCCUCCCGACCCACAGCACAGCAUUCUCUGCUUCCAGCGGGUCUGCCUUGGGCCAUCACCCCAGAGAGUUUGAUCAAAACCCGAGCCCAAUCCAGGUCCUACCCUUCUCAGCCCCCAUCCCACUUGGGUUCAUUUACUUAUUCAAACAAACAUCAAAUGAGCAUCUACAUAUUAGAAUUCUAGAUAGGGGUGUGGGGUCAGUGUGCAGGGACAGCAGCAUAGAAGAGGGACUUUGGUUGAGACUUGAAGGACGAAUAGGAGUUUGCCAAAGGGUCAAAGGAUAGGAAGCUAUUUGAGGAAGAAGAAACUGCAUAUACUACACAAACGUACAGAGGACCCUGGUCAGCCAUGUGGUUGGAACACAAAGUGAAAAGUGGGGAGAGAGGGAGAAGAGAGGCUUGAACAGGGAAGCAGAGAACAACAGAUGGAAGAUCUUAUAGCUGAGCUAAGAAGUAUGAAUUUUUUUCCCCUAGGAUGGAAAAACACAGAAGUUUUUUCAAAUUUCCAAGUAGGAAGUUAUGAUUUUAAAAAAAAAUGAAAAAGAAAAGAAGGCUUUUUCUAAUUAGAAAGGUCAGGUUAGUGGCAUUGUGGAAGACGGACUGGACAGGGGCAAAAGUAGACCCAGGGAGACUAGUCAGUCUAGCCAGUCAGCCAACAAGCAUUUCUUAAGUUCUGUAGUGGGUAAAAUAGUUGCUUCCCCCACCCCAAAAGUUAUGCCCAUGUCCCAGAACCCGUGAAUGUGACCUUAUUUGGAAAACAGAACUUUAAAGAUGUAAUCAAGUUAAGGAUCUCAGGAUCCCUGAUUAUCCGAUGGGCCUUAAAUCCAAACGCAAAUGUCCUUAAAAGAAACACAUGCAAGAGAAGGCCACUGAAGACAGAGGCAGAGAUUGCAGUGAUGCAGCCAUAAGCCAAGGAAUGCCUGGAACUAUCAGAAGCAGAAAGAGCAGAUUCUCCCUUCAAGCCUUCAGAGGGAGUGUGGCCCUGCUGACAUCUUGACUUCAAACCUCUGGCCUCCAGAACUAUGAGAAUAAAUUUAUGUUGCAUUACGCC